CUACACUGUAUUAUACACAUUUGAUACAUACUUUCAACAAAUUCGAAGAGUAUGGAAAUUUGUAUACCGUAUAAUCUUUGAAGCUUAAUAUUUUAAUCCUGCUCGAACGGCUGACAAGACGCUAGCAAGCAAAAUGUUUCCGAAAAAUAGUGAAAUAUCGUUGAAGUUAAGCACAAGACCCGCUGAAACGAGAAUGGAUCACAAUUUAAUAGUGAGUUUGAACAAAUAACGGUGGCUGGGCCGAAGCCGAACUAAUACUCGUACACAUUCUGAUCUCAUUAAGUUUCUUAAGAUUGUUUAUGGUGUUGAAG
This 311-nucleotide long non-coding RNA is filed under the name Drosophila guanche. Lineage: Eukaryota; Metazoa; Arthropoda; Insecta; Diptera; Drosophilidae. The record is from RNAcentral.